UGGGGAAUUUUGGACAAUGGGCGCAAGCCUGAUCCAGCAAUGCCGCGUGCAGGAUGAAGGCCUUCGGGUUGUAAACUGCUUUUGUACGGAACGAAAAGGCUCUGUCUAAUACAGAGAGCCGAUGACGGUACCGUAAGAAUAAGCACCGGCUAACUACGUGCCAGCAGCCGCGGUAAUACGUAGGGUGCAAGCGUUAAUCGGAAUUACUGGGCGUAAAGCGUGCGCAGGCGGUCUUGUAAGACAGAGGUGAAAUCCCCGGGCGCAACCGGGGAACGGCCUUUGUGACUGCAAGGGUGGAGUGCGGCAGAGGGGGAUGGAAUACCGCCUGUAGAAGUGAACUGCGUAGAUAUGCGGAGGAACAACGACGGCGAAGGCAAUCCCCUGUGCCUGCACUGACGCUCAUGCACGAAAGCGUGGGGAGCAAACAGGAUUA
This 433-nucleotide ribosomal RNA is filed under the name uncultured bacterium. RNAcentral's name for it is "bacterial SSU rRNA". It matches the Rfam family "Bacterial small subunit ribosomal RNA", at positions 355 to 780 of the family's 1533-position model. The record is from RNAcentral.